AGUCCAUGGUAAGGACAUUUGCUUUGCAACUCCUUAAGCCUCUGUCAUGCCUCAUAUAUUGAUUCACAUUCUUGUUGAACAAAACCCAUUAUAUCCAUACUUAGUUU
This is a small nucleolar RNA of Coffea arabica (coffee), 107 nucleotides long. The record is from RefSeq and is a predicted model, not a curated record. Lineage: Eukaryota; Viridiplantae; Streptophyta; Magnoliopsida; Gentianales; Rubiaceae.